UUUAAAGUCUGACCUGCCCAAUGANNNNNNAAAUGGCCGCAGUAUCUUGACUGUGCAAAGGUAGCAUAAUCAUUAGUUUUUUAAAUGGAAGCUAGAAUGAAGGGUUUGAUAAAAAAAAAGCUGUCUCAAUCAAAAAUUUAGAAUUUUAUUUUUAAGUUAAAAAGCUUAAAUUUUUUAAAAAGACGAGAAGACCCUAUAGAGUUUAAUAAAUAAAAAUUUAAUUUAUAAAAAGAUUAAAAUUUAAUUAAAUUUGACUUUAUUUUAUUGGGGUGAUAAAAAAAUUUAACAAACUUUUUAAUUUUUAAACAUUUAUUAAUGAUUAGUUGAUCCUAUAUUUUAGAUUAAAAGAAAAAAUUACCUUAGGGAUAACAGCGUAAUUUUUUUGUAGAGUUCUUAUCGAUAAAAAAGAUUGCGACCUCGAUGUUGGAUUAAAGUAAAAUUUUGGUGUAGAAGCUAAAAGAUUAGGUCUGUUCGACCUUUAAAACUUUACA
Molecule: ribosomal RNA, 491 nt
Filed under: Mycetophagus atomarius
Lineage: Eukaryota; Metazoa; Arthropoda; Insecta; Coleoptera; Mycetophagidae
Description: partial 16S ribosomal RNA
Rfam family: Bacterial large subunit ribosomal RNA
Source: RNAcentral